UAGGGAAGUCUUCCACCAAUGGGCGGCAAGCCUGAUGGAGCAACACCGCGUGAGUGAAGAAGGGUUUCGGCCCGUAAAGCUCUGUUGUUAAAGAAGAACACGUAUGAGAGUAACUGUUCAUACGUUGACGGUAUUUAACCAGAAAGUCACGGCUAACUACGUGCCAC
RNAcentral lists this ribosomal RNA (167 nucleotides) under uncultured bacterium. Its description in RNAcentral is "partial 16S rRNA". It matches the Rfam family "Bacterial small subunit ribosomal RNA", at positions 355 to 511 of the family's 1533-position model. The record is from RNAcentral.